Molecule: long non-coding RNA, 4491 nt
Organism: Columba livia (rock pigeon)
Lineage: Eukaryota; Metazoa; Chordata; Aves; Columbiformes; Columbidae
Exons: 3
Source: RefSeq, a predicted model, not a curated record
UCCCUUCUAAACCGGGGCUCACUCUCUCAAAUGUUGUCUCAUGAUGACUGAGAAAAUAAAUACUGGAAAAAAAAAAAUCCAAAACACAGAAAAAACUGGGGUGAAAACAAAGUUUGUCUGUCACUUAAUACGAGUUCAUUGACUUCCUGUCAUAAGAGAAAUGGCUGAAUGUGGACUGUAUGAAGGAUUUGAAUUCAGAAUACCUAAACUCCAGUUUUUCAUUGCACCUGUUCCACCACUUGGUACAUGACCAGUCCCUUAUGAUGAGGCAGGAAGACAAUGCAAUGCACAUUUCUGUGCAGCCAUUAGCGGAAUUGAUAUCUAACACUGCAAUUUCUCAUCUGAACACGCACCUUGAAAACGACCUCUGAAGACAAGCUGGACAUAUGAUUAGAAGAUUGCUAUCCCAGCGAAAUGAUACCCUAAAAGCUGUUCUACUGUUACCUCUAUCAAAACCUUCCUUUCUGUUUGCCAAUUAUAACAGCAGAAUCUAUCACUCUUUUCAAUUUUCAUUAUAUCAGGAAUUUACUUUGCACAUUUUCUUCUUCUAUGUAGUACUUUAAAAUCACAUUUUAUUAAAUGCUGUUUCUAACAUAAUUGAGAGCAAUUCACUUAUAAAGUGACUGCUGACAGCUGGAUCCAUUUAUAUCUUAUACGUGAUAUGCUGGGCCUCUUGUCAUCCCUGUCUGGUAUUUGAGAAUUCAUCUUUUGUAUUAAUAUCUCAGAAAGCCUCAACUUUAAACACUAUAUCAAAUGUGUUAAUUUGAGCUCUACUCUCAUACUCCUAUAAAACUCAUGGUUGCCAAACAUUUGCUGAAAACAUCUUACUUUCUCUUUUUAUUUUGAAAUAUGUCAUUUUCUAAACUCCUCACAAAGUGAAUGAUUGCAUAAGUCCUCCUGACCUUUUCCAAACCACAUUGAAAUUAAUAGAAAGAUUCCUGUUGGCUGCAGAAGCUGUGAGUCAGGCCAUUAUUGCCUUAAGUAGACUAAUAGCCUAUUAUACUGUGGAUCUUAGGUGCUUUCCCCAUGCAGUACCCCUCCUGGUUAGAGACACAUUUUGCAACUCACCCUACUUCCAUUUUUAGCCCUGUUAUCCCUAUUUCUCUCAUUUGCCAGCGCAAAAUGUCACUACAUUUUAUGUAGAAUAACACUGUUUAGAAAAUGUUUACAUCUUGCACUUGAAUUAUUCUCUUUUUUUUUUUUCACAGUUAUUUAUUUGUACAGCAUUAGCUUGGAAGGACUGCGCGUACUUUGUGCAAAUCACUUCUCAGGCCUGUAACAAAAGACUGUGCCCACUCCAAGGGGUUUACAGCCUUAGCACUGGUUCCUAUUACCAUCUGCCUGUUCCCCUUUGCCAAAGACACAGCAGAGAACCAAAGCCCAGGAAAUAAGCGGUCAGCCGCUUGUAACAGCGUAAGAUGUGGAUGUUUGAAACUGGCACUGCAUGCUAAUCGGAGGAGAUAGUCCAUCUCUGGAUAGUGACUAAGAGGUAAUAAGUAAGGAAUAAAUUAUAACGAGCCUUGAAAGUGAAGAUAAAUAACUUUUGUUUAACACAGAAGAGAAGCUGGAACCAGCAAAGGGAAAAAUAAAGAGGUGAAUGGGAUGGAAAAUGAUCCUGGCAGGAAGCUUCAUAAUGGGCAGAGGGAAAGAUAAUUUACAUCAAGACUUCGACACAGCAAGAACUGCAAGUGGAGGGUGAGAGUCUAAAAACACUUCCUCUCUUUACAUUUAUGAAAAACUAUGUUUCAGGCAUAUCAAAAUGAAAACUAACUUCCAGUCUUAAAAGUAGCUGAAGGAGCAAGUGCUUCAGGGUGAAGAUGACGUCCAGGUCACACGCAACGCUAUGGAGCCAUCAGUGAGGCCAGGUGGAGAAGCACAGCAUUGGACAUCUUCCCAGGGAUGAUGUGUCACCACUUGAAAACUGACCUCAAAAAGGACAAAUUCAUUCUGAAGUUGCCGGGAUGCUCCCCACUGGAAAGGUGGCAAAAUUGGUGCCCAUCAGCUCAUGCCCUAUUGGGAUGGUUUCCAAAGUGAGGCAAUGCCCAAAUGUGAGUCUCAGCCCACAAACAGGAGUUGAGAGUUGGGCAUCGAGUUUUAGGUACCAUGUCCUCUGGCUUAGUAAGCUACAUGUCUGGGAGUUAAGCACCUGUGUUUCUGCAUGCAUGACAAAGGAAAAAGGGAGAGAAAAGACCUGGCUUCCAGUCCUUACAGAAACAGAGUUAAAAUCAUUUACAUUAGGGAUGCAAUAAGUAGAGAUCCUUGCUUUCGAGCAGAUAUGUCUCUGCAGAAGAAAGUUGACACUCUGAGCACCAAAACAGAUCAUGGGAACUACAAUAAAAAGAAGUGUUCUGCUAAAGCUAAAGGGAGAGGAAUCUGUCAGAGAGAAUGAUAGAAGAAGACUGGUAUUAUGAAAGGAAAAGGGGGGAAAAGAGGAAAAAAAAGGUACAAGAAACUGGAAAAGCCUUUAAGGGACAUAAUGCUGGUUAAUGAGGCAGAAACUAAGAGACAAGUGAAUUACAAGCCAGUGUGAUCAGCAUUUUUUCAAGGUAAUUUGUAAAAGGUGACAAAAGCAUUGAUUUGCUUUUUUCUCACUCUGCCUGUGUACUUAUGUCAUUCACUUAAUGUAAUAACCUCUACUAAUCAGUCAUAGAUUGCAACAUAUUUUUGUUGACCUUAAAACAACGAAAAAAUUAUGAUUCUGGAAUUUGAAGCAUGCAGUUUUUUUCCUAGCUAAAGGGUAAAAUAAAGAGGUAUAGCUGGACAAAUUUUUUUCAUGUUAUGUGAUGAAUCAAGGCCCAUGCACCAUAGGAAGUCCAAACCCAUUCACUUCCUAUAGUUUCAGGCUAUGUCUCAAUUCUAAAAUAGUAUUAAAAUGAAAAUUGUUAUUCCAUAUUGUCAUUCAGUGAAGCUUAUAUGAGCCAUAGAUUUCAGGUAUUCCCAUAAUGGAAGUUAUGGGAAUUAUUGUCUUUAAGAGGCAGAAGUAUCUAGAAUGAGAAACAGCUGCAUUUCUGCCACAUUGAAUAGAAGGAAAUAAGAAGAAAAGAAGGCAGAAAGAAGCCCCAAAACUGCAACUAAGUGGAUACUAGAAAGGUAAGAUACAUUCAGCUAACAAGUGAGGAGAAAAAGACAAUCUUUUAGGCUUUAGAAGAGCUGAUAAUAGCAGAAAAACUGCCUGCAACACAAGGCCAAAAGAUAUCAAACACCCUAAGAUAUGCUUUCACAAAUCAACUAAACAUAUAAACUAGAAAAAAACAAAAAAAGCAUUCCUCUAGACUAUGUCCCUAAGAUGAGAAACUCUGAAAACCUGCAAGUGUAAAGUAAGUAUGAGAUGGUUGUCAGUGUAAUGUCAGCUUCUAGCAGAACAGAAACAACUCAGAAGUCUUGGGAUGAGUUCUCUACUGCCCUGCAUGUUGUACAGUCUUUUUAAAUCAAAGCCUAGAAUGAAGUUUCCAGCCAGCCCGAAAAUACUACAUGUCAGACUAUGCAGAAAGAGCACUACUGCAGAAAAGGUGCUUUACCAGAAUUUAAGAUCUAAACAAAUAUUAGACAGGGUUCAGGUUCAAUAAUGGUCUUAGUUGCUUUCCUUUUUCCUUUUGCAUAAAAGAUAUUUUGGCUAGUAUUUUGCUUUGUCUUGCUUCUAUAAAUCCUCAGAGGAUCCAUCUUGGGAGCACUUCCAGGAUUUGACCUUUAGAUAUUGACAGAGAAGAUGUAUAUGCAUGUGUUCUCAUGUUCUACAAAAUGUAUCGACAAUAAUGGCCGUUCUUCCAUUUAUUUUGUAAAUAGUUUAAUUUUUACAUAUUUGUAUGACUGCAAGAUAUAGUUAGGCUUCUGUAAUUAAUAAUAUUUACGUGCACUAUUUUAAUCUAGGGAUUUAAAUUCUCUGCUGCAUAUUGAUAAACACUUUAUACCAUUUAAACCAGUGUACUGCAAUGUCAUUCAUCAAAAAUUAAAAGUGCACAAUAUCUAUGAUGUGAGGCUAUUAAUUUAUCCACAGAGGCAAAACUACAUGCACUGCUCAACUGAUAAGCCAGCUUCUGUCUCUUGUGGUCAAAGGUAAUUCUUUCUUCCAUAUUAGCUGUGUGUUGGACCUUGGUUUCACAGAUUUUGUCACCAGUGCCUGAUUAUAUGUGGCAGGUUUGUAAUGUGGAGUAUCCUCUAAUGGGGAUUGCACAGCCACUACCAAAGUAAUUUCAAUUAGCACUUUGAUUAAAUGUAAAACUGAACUCCACUGGUAGUAAACAGUGUCUUAUCCACAUAAUUGUUUUGUGCCUAUGUAAUCUUUUCCUUAUAACCUGUUCAGAGAAGGGUAUGAGAUAUACCUUUUACCUCUCUGUUUUCCUCCUGUUCUGUGGUAUAUCAUGUCAAAGGGAGGUUACUCACCUUUGCCAGCUGAACUAGUAGGCCUGCACCUAGUGAGAGGAAUCCAACAGAAAAGUGUUUAGUCUUCUGGGCCCCUAAAAGAAGCUUUUAACUCCAGUUUUUGGAGCAAUA